GUGCAGCAGUCGAGAAACUUUACAAUGUGCGAAAGCACGAUAAGGGAACUCUGAGUGCCUCCUAAGGAGGCUGUUCAGGUGUCUAAAAGCACCUGAAGGAAGGGCUGGGUAAGACCGGUGCCAGCCGCCGCGGUAACACCGGCAGCCCAAGUGGUAGCCACGUUUAUUGGGUCUAAAGCGUCCGUAGCCGGCUGGGUAAGUUCCUUGGGAAAUUUGGCUGCUUAACAGUCAAGCUUUCAGGGAAUACUGCUCGGCUUGGGACCGGGAGAGGUCAGAGGUACUCCAGGGGUAGGGGUGAAAUCCAUUAAAUCCGUUGGGGGACCACCGGUAGCGAAGGCGUCUGACCAGACCGGGUCCGACGGUGAGGGACGAAGGCUAGGGGCGCGAACCGGAUUAGAUACCCC
This 404-nucleotide ribosomal RNA is filed under the name uncultured microorganism. Its description in RNAcentral is "bacterial SSU rRNA". It matches the Rfam family "Archaeal small subunit ribosomal RNA", at positions 330 to 739 of the family's 1478-position model. The record is from RNAcentral.